RNAcentral lists this ribosomal RNA (471 nucleotides) under uncultured bacterium. RNAcentral describes it as "bacterial SSU rRNA". It matches the Rfam family "Bacterial small subunit ribosomal RNA", at positions 27 to 507 of the family's 1533-position model. The record is from RNAcentral.
CGGACGAACGCUGGCGGCGUGCUUAACACAUGCAAGUCGAACGGUGACGAGGAGCUUGCUCCUCUGAUCAGUGGCGAACGGGUGAGUAACACGUGAGCAACCUGCCCCAGACUCUGGGAUAACAGUUGGAAACAGCUGCUAAUACCGGAUACGAGACGGAGAGGCAUCUCUACCGUCUGGAAAGUUUUUCGGUCUGGGAUGGACUCGCGGCCUAUCAGCUAGUUGGUGAGGUAAUGGCUCACCAAGGCGACGACGGGUAGCCGGCCUGAGAGGGCGACCGGCCACACUGGGACUGAGACACGGCCCAGACUCCUACGGGAGGCAGCAGUAGGGAAUAUUGCGCAAUGGGCGGAAGCCUGACGCAGCGACGCCGCGUGAGCGAAGAAGGCCUUCGGGUCGUAAAGCUCUGUCCUUGGGGAAGAAGGCGAAAGCUUGACGGUACCCAAGAAGAAAGCCCCGGCUAACUACGUG